Gadus macrocephalus (Pacific cod) is the source of this 1121-nucleotide long non-coding RNA. RefSeq lists it as uncharacterized. The transcript has 2 exons. The record is from RefSeq and is a predicted model, not a curated record. NCBI's taxonomy places the organism in Eukaryota, Metazoa, Chordata, Actinopteri, Gadiformes, Gadidae.
CAACCUCCUGGCUCAGCCCUGGCCAAACUCCACCACGACCUGAAUGAUCCCAGGGGGCUGGGAAUGUUUAAUAUCAGGGCUGAAGAGGAGAGAGAGAGGAGAGGGCAGCAGUCCUCUGGCAGCAGUGACCAGCAAUCAUUUUGGGGUCGAUUUUGCACUCAGGUAUUUAUUUUUAUAUUUAUUUAUAUUAGCUAAUUGCAACCUGACAGAUACAACUAUUUUGUACCACAAUUAUCAUAGGAUAAAAAGUUUUUUUUUUAACAAACUAGGUGAUGGAGCCAUAUCUGCUGCAACUUGUGGAGCAGUUGAACGGGCGUUUCCAGGAACUCCACAUCCUUGGGGCAUUUAGUGUGCUGAGCCCACAAGCAGCCAGGAAGCUGGAUCAGGAUGUGCCUGUGAGCCAAAUGAAGACUCUCGCAAAAAAGUUCCACCCAAUGGAUGAGCAGACACUGCUGGAAGAGUGGUCUUCAUUCAGAGAACAUCUCACUACUGGCAUUCUGAAGGUGAAAGAUUUUUUUAAGAGCUAGCUUUGUCCUUUAUCAAAUUUCAUCCUAUGUUAAUGUUCCUUGUCAACUGCUCUAUCAAACUAUAGGACAAGAACCAGAUGGAUGUAAUGAAGGAGCUGACCUCACAGUACGAUGAGCUCAGUCAGCUCUACCCCUGUCUGAGCAAGCUUGCUGCAAUUGGGCUCACUAUUCCGCUCAGCAGUGUUAACUGUGAGCGAGAUUUUUCCACUAUGAACAGGGUGAAAACUGACCUCAGGAACAGGCUGCAGGGAGAGCACUUGGGGGACUGCCUGAAAAUAUCCAUAAAUGGGCCGCCUGUUGGAAACUUCCCUUAUCAAGAGGCCAUGGAGCAAUUCUUCAAAAAGCCAAGAAAGAUCAAGUGUAGCAACCAGCCAUGCUCACUGUGUUCAUAAUAAAAUUAGUGUAUUGUAAAUAAAAUUAGUGUAUUGUAAAUAAAAUUAGUGUAUUGUAAAUAAAAUUUGUUUAUUGUUUAUAACGUGUUUAUUGAAUCAUUAUCAACUUGUGAUGGCGAAGCAAGUGUUUUAUAUGGAAAUAACCAACAAAUACUCUAGCAUCCCAUGAAAAAUGUAUAACAAAUCACACUAUCAGCUCUUA